This 76-nucleotide transfer RNA is filed under the name Microbulbifer bruguierae. Its description in RNAcentral is "Microbulbifer sp. H12 tRNA-Met". It matches the Rfam family "tRNA". From Rfam's summary of the family: Transfer RNA (tRNA) molecules are approximately 80 nucleotides in length. Their secondary structure includes four short double-helical elements and three loops (D, anti-codon, and T loops). The record is from RNAcentral. Lineage: Bacteria; Pseudomonadati; Pseudomonadota; Gammaproteobacteria; Cellvibrionales; Microbulbiferaceae.
GGUCCGAUAGCUCAUCCGGUAUGAGCGCUCGCUUCAUAAGCGAAGGGAGGCGGUUCGAGCCCGCCGCGGACUACCA